This is an RNA transcript of Manihot esculenta (cassava), 3581 nucleotides long. It is a transcript of the gene named protein FAR1-RELATED SEQUENCE 3, with no coding region annotated. Lineage: Eukaryota; Viridiplantae; Streptophyta; Magnoliopsida; Malpighiales; Euphorbiaceae. The transcript has 8 exons. The record is from RefSeq and is a predicted model, not a curated record.
AAAUAGUGAAAAGGUUGGGGAUGAAAAUAUGAAGGGGAAGACGAAGGAGGAUGAAAGAAACGGAGUUGGUUCAUCCUUUGACAGUUCCACUCUCAUGCUCAUCAUUCACUGCUCCAAACCAACAAAUUUUAAUACAUACAUCUCUGUCGAAACUGAAAUUAAAAGGAAAUUAUGUUUGUUUUUUAAUUUUUUUAAAUUAAAUAAUCACAGACAAUCUUGAAGAGAAGAGAGGAGGAGAGAAGAGAAAACUGCUGUGCAAGAUGGAAUGGAAUGUAAUUCAAACUUGAUUUUGCUGAAUGGUGAUGGAAACCCAAUAUCAAAGUUGCUCCAGAUUGACUAACAUGCGACUUUGUCUCAUUCUGGGGGAGAUUGGCUCUGCAAAAUGCUUCCCGUUUAAUGUUUGUGAUAUGCAGGUAGUUUAUAGUUCUAGACAAAUUGAAUAAGUAUGAAGAAUAAGCUAUAGCCUUUCCGGUGCAAACAAAGUUCGUUUCAUACCCUACACUUAUGGAUGUUGAGGUGGUAGAUGUGGAAGGGAGAAAAGGUGACAAUCAUAUUAUGGUAAAUGCUGAUUCCAAUAAGUCUGGGAAACUUAAUGUAACAGAAGAUUCUUCGGAAGUAAUGGUUAGAAAUCAGGAUGAUGAUGGAGGUGCUUUACCACAUGUGGGUAUGGAGUUUGAAUCAGAGGAUGUUGCCAAGGCAUUCUAUGAUGCAUAUGCCAGGCGUAUGGGAUUUAGCACUCAUGUUGGUCAAUUUAACCGUGCUAAGCCUGAUGGGCCAAUUGUUACUUGGGAUUUUGCAUGUUCCAGAGAGGUACUUAAAAGAAGGAAUUUUGAGUGCUGCAAUGCAAUGCUUAGGAUAGAGAGGAAGAAUUCAGACAACUGGGUUGUGACAAAAUUUAUAGAGGAGCAUAACCACUCUAUGACAGUUCCUAGUAAGGUUCAUUAUCUUCGACCUCGUAGGCAUUUUGCUGGGGCUACAAAGAAUGCGACUGAAACACUGGAUGCCAGUGCCACUAGUGAUGUUUAUGUUCCUAUUGAUGGGAAUCAUGCAUCUUAUGAACAAAAUCGUGUUAGAAAUGUAUCCCUUGUAGAACCUAAUCACCCAGUUAGGAAUGUUGUGCAUGCACCUAUGAACUAUGUGAGUCCUCCUAGCAGAAAAAGGACCCUCGGAAGAGAUGCACAAAAUCUUUUGAAUUAUUUCCAGAAAAUGCAGGCCGAGAACCCUGGCUUCUAUUAUGCAAUACAACUUGAUGAUGAUAAUCGCAUGACUAAUGUCUUCUGGACUGAUGCAAGAUCAAGGAUGGCUUAUAAUCAUUUUGGCGAUACUGUUGUUUUUGACACCAUGUAUAGACCAAAUCAAUAUCAGGUCCCAUUUGCUCCUUUCACAGGUGUUAAUCAUCAUGGUCAGAUGGUAUUAUUCGGCUGUGCAUUGCUUCUAGAUGAGUCUGAGUCUUCCUUUACUUGGCUAUUUAGGACGUGGCUAUCUGCAAUGAAUAACCGACCUCCUGUUUCUCUUACCACCGACCAAGACAGAGCCAUACAAAUGGCUGUUGCUCAGGUACUUCCAGAAACUCGCCACCGCAUCUGCAAGUGGCACAUCUUGAGAGAAGGCCAAGAAAGGUUGUCUCACAUAUACCUUGCUCAUCCAUCCUUUUAUGGAGAGCUGUAUAGCUCCAUUAAUUUUUCUGAGACAAUUGAGGAUUUUGAAUCAUCAUGGGGUAGUCUUCUGGAUAAAUAUGAUCUCCAGAAGAAUGAAUGGCUUCAGGCUGUGUAUAAUGCUCGCAAGCAGUGGGCGCCAGUUUAUUUUCGUGGCACUUUCUUUGCUGCAAUUUCUUCAAACCAAGGGUUUAGCUCUUUUUUUGAUGGGUAUGUGAAUCAACAAACCACAAUACCUCUGUUCUUUAAGCAGUAUGAAAGAGCUCUUGAGCAUUCUCUGGAAAAGGAAAUAGAAGCAGAUUAUGAUACAAUCUGCACCACUCCAGUGCUUAAGACACCAUCACCAAUGGAACAACUGGCAGCAAACCUCUAUACAAAGAAAGUGUUUGCAAAGUUUCAGGAAGAACUAGUUGAAACUUUUGUAUAUACAGCAAAUAACAUAGAAGAUGAUGGAGUUGUGAGUAAAUAUAGGGUUGCAAAAUAUGAACAAGAUGACAAGGCAUACAUAGUGAUUCUGAACAUUUCUGAGAUGAAGGCAAGUUGCAGUUGCCAGAUGUUUGAAUACUGUGGCAUUCUCUGUCGGCAUGUACUAACUGUAUACACUGUAACCAAUGUUCUUACCCUUCCAUCCCACUACAUAUUGAAAAGAUGGAAAAGAAAUGCCAACUCUUGGGUCGGGACAGAGGAGCAAAGUCCAGACCUGCAAGCUAUUGAAUCCUUGACCUCACGCUUUAACAAUCUAUGCGUGGAGGCUAUUAAAUAUGCAGCAGAAGGAACAAUUGCAGUUGAGACCUAUAAUUUGGCAAUAAAUGCUUUAAGAGAGGGUGCAAAAAAGAUUGCUGCUAUGAAGAAAAAUGUUGCGAAAGUUACACCUCCUAGCUCUCAAGGCAGUGGUAACAGUCUGGAAGAAACUAACAAGAAAACCCCCUUUUCAGUUCCUGAAAUGGUCCCAUCAGUGUGGCACUGGCAAGAUGCUAUGCCACAUCGGUUUAAUCUCAAUGAUGUAGGAGUACCUGUUACAGAUUUGAACCAGCCUAGCACGGCUCCUGUGUCUAUCCAUCGUGACGGCUGUCCUCCUGACAACACAGUGGUUCUUACUUAUUUCAAGUCCAUGACUUGGGUAAUAGAGAAUAAGACUUCAACGCCAGCUGGAAAAGUAGCUGUCAUCAACUUGAAGCUGCAAGAUUAUGGCAAGAAUCCAUCAGGGGAAACAGAGGUGCAGUUUAGGCUAACAAGGAUCACAUUGGAACCAAUGCUGAGAUCCAUGGCUCAUAUAAGUCAGCAGCUUUCAACACCAGCCAAUCGAGUUGCUGUCAUUAAUCUAAAGCUUCUUUCAGAUCCUGUCUUCUUCUUCAUCCUUUUUUCCCUUCCUUUUGCGGGGAUAGUAAUAUCCAGUCAUUUUGGCUCCAAGAUACCAAAACAACAACAGGGGAAACAGAGGUGAAAUUCCAGGUUUCUAGAGAUACACUGGCUUCCAUGUUGAGAUCAAUGGCCUAUAUACGUGAGCAAUUAUGACAACAGUUUUGCUGAUCUCUUAAUUGUAAUGAUGAAUUAUGUAAGCAAGAGGUAUAGUGAUCUUUGAAUCUCAUUUGGCAAGGAAAGCUCAAAUAAGCUUCACAAGCUGUUAGCAUUAUAGGUAUUGAAGGCGUGCUCCAUUUUGGUAGAUAACAGUUGUGUACUAUAUGAUUGUUAGGUUGACAUAGUUUGGGUGUAGAUUUAGUUAGGUUAUGGGAAUGGGAUCUCUGUUUCAUUGAUGGAACUGGCUGAGGCUUAGGUAUAGCUAUUCUUAUCUCUAACUUGUAGUUAUAGAUAGUGCAAAAUUCCCUUGUAAUUAUGUGCUGGAAAGUUCUAUUUGUACAUGUACAUUUCCAACACAUGUUUACUCAUUCAGCAUUGCAUAUAUGUUGUACUUAGCUCUGUUUUCAA